AGAGGCCUACCAUGGUUUUAACGGGUAACGGGGAAUUAGGGUUCGAUUCCGGAGAGGGAGCCUGAGAAACGGCUACCACAUCCAAGGAAGGCAGCAGGCGCGCAAAUUACCCAAUCCCGACACGGGGAGGUAGUGACAAUAAAUAACAAUACAGGGUUCUUUGAAUCUUGUAAUUGGAAUGAGUACAAUUUAAAUCUCUUAACGAGGAACAAUUGGAGGGCAAGUCUGGUGCCAGCAGCCGCGGUAAUUCCAGCUCCAAUAGCGUAUAUUAAAGUUGUUGCAGUUAAAAAGCUCGUAGUUGAAUUUCGGGAUCAAUACGUCGGUCGUGCUUUCGGGUACGUACUGGCGUCAUUGGUUUCUCCUUUCUGACGAACCAUGAUGUCAUUAAUUUGGUGCGUCGGGGAAGCAGGACUGUUACCUUGGAAAAAUUAGAGUGCUUAAAGCAGGCUAUCGCCUGAAUACAUUAGCAUGGAAUAAUGAAAUAGGACGGCAUGGUUCUAUUUUGUUGGUUUCUAGGAUCACCGUAAUGAUUAAUAGGGAUAGUUGGGGGCAUUAGUAUUCAAUUGUCAGAGGUGAAAUUCUUGGAUUUAUUGAAGACUAACUUCUGCGAAAGCAUUUGCCAAGGAUGUUUUCAUUAAUCAAGAACGAAAGUUAGGGGAUCGAGGACGAUCAGAUACCGUCGUAGUCUUAACCAUAAACUAUGCCGACUAGGAAUCGGACGAUGUUAAUUUUUUAAUGACUCGUUCGG
RNAcentral lists this ribosomal RNA (748 nucleotides) under uncultured Glomeraceae. RNAcentral's name for it is "SSU rRNA". It matches the Rfam family "Eukaryotic small subunit ribosomal RNA", at positions 335 to 1083 of the family's 1831-position model. Lineage: Eukaryota; Fungi; Glomeromycota; Glomeromycetes; Glomerales; Glomeraceae. The record is from RNAcentral.